RNAcentral lists this ribosomal RNA (745 nucleotides) under uncultured Maribacter sp. Its description in RNAcentral is "bacterial SSU rRNA". It matches the Rfam family "Bacterial small subunit ribosomal RNA", at positions 117 to 858 of the family's 1533-position model. Lineage: Bacteria; Pseudomonadati; Bacteroidota; Flavobacteriia; Flavobacteriales; Flavobacteriaceae. The record is from RNAcentral.
GUAUGGAAUCUACCUUGUACAGGGGAAUAGCCUUUGGAAACGAAGAUUAAUGCCCCAUAGUAUCAUUUUACAGCAUUGUAUUUUGAUUAAAGGCUUCGGCCGGUAUAAGAUGACCAUGCGUCCCAUUAGUUUGUUGGUAAGGUAACGGCUUACCAAGACUACGAUGGGUAGGGGCCCUGAGAGGGGGAUCCCCCACACUGGUACUGAGACACGGACCAGACUCCUACGGGAGGCAGCAGUGAGGAAUAUUGGACAAUGGAGGAGACUCUGAUCCAGCCAUGCCGCGUGCAGGAAGAAUGCCCUAUGGGUAGUAAACUGCUUUUAUACAGGAAGAAAAAGAGCUACGUGUAGCUUACUGACGGUACUGUAAGAAUAAGGACCGGCUAACUCCGUGCCAGCAGCCGCGGUAAUACGGAGGGUCCGAGCGUUAUCCGGAAUUAUUGGGUUUAAAGGGUCCGUAGGCGGGCGAUUAAGUCAGUGGUGAAAGUCUGCAGCUCAACUGUAGAACUGCCUUUGAUACUGGUCGUCUUGAGUUAUAGUGAAGUUGCCGGAAUAUGUAGUGUAGCGGUGAAAUGCAUAGAUAUUACAUAGAACACCGAUUGCGAAGGCAGGUGACUAACUAUAUACUGACGCUGAUGGACGAAAGCGUGGGGAGCGAACAGGAUUAGAUACCCUGGUAGUCCACGCCGUAAACGAUGGAUACUAGCUGUCCGGAACCUUGAGUUCUGGGCGGCCAAGCGAAAGU